AGACCAUGAUGAGGGCAACACCUAAGUAAAUCUUUGUAUCUUUCCCAAGUCUCGUACAAUGAUUCAGUAUCUAGCUACAUGAAUGAUGUGAUUUCAUUGCUCAUUUU
Molecule: small nucleolar RNA, 107 nt
Filed under: Theobroma cacao (cacao)
Lineage: Eukaryota; Viridiplantae; Streptophyta; Magnoliopsida; Malvales; Malvaceae
Description: Plant small nucleolar RNA R71
Rfam family: Plant small nucleolar RNA R71
About the family: R71 is a member of the C/D box family of snoRNAs containing the C (UGAUGA) and D (CUGA) box motifs.
Source: Rfam by way of RNAcentral